This 2892-nucleotide ribosomal RNA is filed under the name Pseudomonas syringae pv. syringae. RNAcentral's name for it is "bacterial LSU rRNA". It matches the Rfam family "Bacterial large subunit ribosomal RNA". Lineage: Bacteria; Pseudomonadati; Pseudomonadota; Gammaproteobacteria; Pseudomonadales; Pseudomonadaceae. The record is from RNAcentral.
UCAAGUGAAGAAGCGCAUACGGUGGAUGCCUUGGCAGUCAGAGGCGAUGAAAGACGUGGUAGCCUGCGAAAAGCUUCGGGGAGUCGGCAAACAGACUGUGAUCCGGAGAUGUCUGAAUGGGGGAACCCAGCCAUCAUAAGAUGGUUAUCUUGUACUGAAUACAUAGGUGCAAGAGGCGAACCAGGGGAACUGAAACAUCUAAGUACCCUGAGGAAAAGAAAUCAACCGAGAUUCCCUUAGUAGUGGCGAGCGAACGGGGACCAGCCCUUAAGUUGUAUUGAGAUUAGCGGAACGUUCUGGAAAGGACGGCCAUAGUGGGUGAUAGCCCUGUACGCGAAAAUCCCUUUGCAAUGAAAUCGAGUAGGACGGGGCACGAGAAACCUUGUCUGAAUAUGGGGGGACCAUCCUCCAAGGCUAAAUACUACUGACUGACCGAUAGUGAACCAGUACCGUGAGGGAAAGGCGAAAAGAACCGCGGAGAGCGGAGUGAAAUAGAUCCUGAAACCGUAUGCGUACAAGCAGUGGGAGCCCACUUUGUUGGGUGACUGCGUACCUUUUGUAUAAUGGGUCAGCGACUUAUUUUCAGUGGCGAGCUUAACCGAAUAGGGGAGGCGUAGCGAAAGCGAGUCUUAAUAGGGCGUCUAGUCGCUGGGAAUAGACCCGAAACCGGGCGAUCUAUCCAUGGGCAGGUUGAAGGUUGGGUAACACUAACUGGAGGACCGAACCGACUACCGUUGAAAAGUUAGCGGAUGACCUGUGGAUCGGAGUGAAAGGCUAAUCAAGCUCGGAGAUAGCUGGUUCUCCUCGAAAGCUAUUUAGGUAGCGCCUCAUGUAUCACUGUAGGGGGUAGAGCACUGUUUCGGCUAGGGGGUCAUCCCGACUUACCAAACCGAUGCAAACUCCGAAUACCUACAAGUGCCGAGCAUGGGAGACACACGGCGGGUGCUAACGUCCGUCGUGAAAAGGGAAACAACCCAGACCGUCAGCUAAGGUCCCAAAGUCAUGGUUAAGUGGGAAACGAUGUGGGAAGGCUUAGACAGCUAGGAGGUUGGCUUAGAAGCAGCCACCCUUUAAAGAAAGCGUAAUAGCUCACUAGUCGAGUCGGCCUGCGCGGAAGAUGUAACGGGGCUCAAACCAUGCACCGAAGCUACGGGUAUCAUCUUAGGAUGAUGCGGUAGAGGAGCGUUCUGUAAGCCUGUGAAGGUGAGUUGAGAAGCUUGCUGGAGGUAUCAGAAGUGCGAAUGCUGACAUGAGUAACGACAAUGGGUGUGAAAAACACCCACGCCGAAAGACCAAGGUUUCCUGCGCAACGUUAAUCGACGCAGGGUUAGUCGGUCCCUAAGGCGAGGCUGAAAAGCGUAGUCGAUGGAAAACAGGUUAAUAUUCCUGUACUUCUGGUUAUUGCGAUGGAGGGACGGAGAAGGCUAGGCCAGCCUGGCGUUGGUUGUCCAGGUUUAAGGUGGUAGGCUGAGAUCUUAGGUAAAUCCGGGAUCUUAAGGCCGAGAGCUGAUGACGAGUGUUCUUUUAGAACACGAAGUGGUUGAUGCCAUGCUUCCAAGAAAAGCUUCUAAGCUUCAGGUAACCAGGAACCGUACCCCAAACCGACACAGGUGGUUGGGUAGAGAAUACCAAGGCGCUUGAGAGAACUCGGGUGAAGGAACUAGGCAAAAUGGCACCGUAACUUCGGGAGAAGGUGCGCCGGUGGAGGUGAAGCAUUUACUGCGUAAGCCCCUGCCGGUCGAAGAUACCAGGCCGCUGCGACUGUUUAUUAAAAACACAGCACUCUGCAAACACGAAAGUGGACGUAUAGGGUGUGACGCCUGCCCGGUGCCGGAAGGUUAAUUGAUGGGGUUAGCGCAAGCGAAGCUCUUGAUCGAAGCCCCGGUAAACGGCGGCCGUAACUAUAACGGUCCUAAGGUAGCGAAAUUCCUUGUCGGGUAAGUUCCGACCUGCACGAAUGGCGUAACGAUGGCGGCGCUGUCUCCACCCGAGACUCAGUGAAAUUGAAAUCGCUGUGAAGAUGCAGUGUAUCCGCGGCUAGACGGAAAGACCCCGUGAACCUUUACUAUAGCUUUGCACUGGACUUUGAAUUUGCUUGUGUAGGAUAGGUGGGAGGCUUUGAAGCGUGGACGCCAGUCUGCGUGGAGCCAACCUUGAAAUACCACCCUGGCAACUUUGAGGUUCUAACUCAGGUCCGUUAUCCGGAUCGAGGACAGUGUAUGGUGGGUAGUUUGACUGGGGCGGUCUCCUCCUAAAGAGUAACGGAGGAGUACGAAGGUGCGCUCAGACCGGUCGGAAAUCGGUCGUAGAGUAUAAAGGCAAAAGCGCGCUUGACUGCGAGACAGACACGUCGAGCAGGUACGAAAGUAGGUCUUAGUGAUCCGGUGGUUCUGUAUGGAAGGGCCAUCGCUCAACGGAUAAAAGGUACUCCGGGGAUAACAGGCUGAUACCGCCCAAGAGUUCAUAUCGACGGCGGUGUUUGGCACCUCGAUGUCGGCUCAUCACAUCCUGGGGCUGAAGCCGGUCCCAAGGGUAUGGCUGUUCGCCAUUUAAAGUGGUACGCGAGCUGGGUUUAGAACGUCGUGAGACAGUUCGGUCCCUAUCUGCCGUGGACGUUUGAGAUUUGAGAGGGGCUGCUCCUAGUACGAGAGGACCGGAGUGGACGAACCUCUGGUGUUCCGGUUGUCACGCCAGUGGCAUUGCCGGGUAGCUAUGUUCGGAAAAGAUAACCGCUGAAAGCAUCUAAGCGGGAAACUUGCCUCAAGAUGAGAUCUCACUGGAACCUUGAGUUCCCUAAAGGGCCGUCGAAGACUACGACGUUGAUAGGUUGGGUGUGUAAGCGCUGUGAGGCGUUGAGCUAACCAAUACUAAUUGCCCGUGAGGCUUGACCAU